GGGCCCGCACAAGCGGUGGAGCAUGUGGUUUAAUUCGACGCAACGCGAAGAACCUUACCAGGGUUUGACAUCCCCUGACAGCUGUGGAAAGACAGUUUUCUGACUUUGGUUAGACAGGGAGACAGGUGGUGCAUGGUUGUCGUCAGCUCGUGUCGUGAGAUGUUGGGUUAAGUCCCGCAACGAGCGCAACCCCUACGUUUAGUUGCUAACGCGUGAAGGCGAGCACUCUAGAGGAACUGCCGUUGACAAAACGGAGGAAGGUGGGGAUGACGUCAAAUCAUCAUGCCCCUUAUGUCCUGGGCUACACACGUGCUACAAUGGCCGGUACAAAGGGCAGCGAAGCUGUGAAGCGGAGCAAAUCCCAAAAAGCCGGUCUCAGUUCGGAUUGCAGGCUGAAAUUCGCCUGCAUGAAGUCGGAAUCGCUAGUAAUCGCAGGUCAGCAUACUGCGGUGAAUACGUUCCCGGGCCUU
This 470-nucleotide ribosomal RNA is filed under the name uncultured bacterium. RNAcentral describes it as "bacterial SSU rRNA". It matches the Rfam family "Bacterial small subunit ribosomal RNA", at positions 917 to 1382 of the family's 1533-position model. The record is from RNAcentral.